RNAcentral lists this ribosomal RNA (650 nucleotides) under uncultured crenarchaeote. RNAcentral's name for it is "bacterial SSU rRNA". It matches the Rfam family "Archaeal small subunit ribosomal RNA", at positions 150 to 803 of the family's 1478-position model. The record is from RNAcentral. Lineage: Archaea; Thermoproteati; Thermoproteota.
ACCGCGAUAGGUCAAGAUUCCUGGAAUGGAUCAUGGCCCAAAUCUAUAUGGCCCCUGGAUUGGACUGCGGCCGAUCAGGCUGUUGGUGGGGUAAUGGCCCACCAAACCUGUAACCGGUACGGGCUCUGAGAGGAGGAGCCCGGAGAUGGGCACUUAGACAAGGGCCCAGGCCCUAUGGGGCGCAGCAGGCGCGAAACCUCUGCAAUAAGCGAAAGCUUGACAGGGUUACUCUGAGUGAUUUCCGCUAAGGAAGUCUUUUGGCACCUCUAAAAAUGGUGCAGAAUAAGGGGUGGGCAAGUCUGGUGUCAGCCGCCGCGGUAAUACCAGCACCCCGAGUGGUCGGGACGAUUAUUGGGCCUAAAGCAUCCGUAGCCGGUCCUGCCAGUCCUCCGUUAAAUCCACCCGCUCAACGGUUGGGCCGCGGGGGAUACUACAGGGCUAGGAGGCGGGAGAGGCAAGCGGUACUCGAUGGGUAGGGGUAAAAUCCACUGAUCCAUUGAAGACCACCAGUGGCGAAGGCGGCUUGCCAGCACGCGCUCGACGGUGAGGGAUGAAAGCUGGGGGAGCAAACCGGAUUAGAUACCCGGGUAGUCCCAGCUGUAAACGAUGCAGACUCGGUGAUGGGUUGGCUUCGCGCUAACCCGGUGCCG